AGGUUAUUUCUGUGACAUAUUUUCAUGGUGUGGGAAUAAGACUUGGUGGUCUUAUACAGCUAACAUGUAGGUUAGCAUCACAGCUUGUCCGUAAGGAUUGAGGCUGAGAAUGGCCAUUGGAGCUGACUUUUAUGGGGACUUUUUUCUGUGGCUGCAUAAAAUGUUUGUGUGGUAUAACUGCAGAGAAUG
Molecule: long non-coding RNA, 189 nt
Organism: Mytilus californianus (California mussel)
Lineage: Eukaryota; Metazoa; Mollusca; Bivalvia; Mytilida; Mytilidae
Exons: 3
Source: RefSeq, a predicted model, not a curated record